This 1821-nucleotide ribosomal RNA is filed under the name Vibrio cholerae. Its description in RNAcentral is "partial 23S ribosomal RNA". It matches the Rfam family "Bacterial large subunit ribosomal RNA", at positions 401 to 2213 of the family's 2925-position model. The record is from RNAcentral. Lineage: Bacteria; Pseudomonadati; Pseudomonadota; Gammaproteobacteria; Vibrionales; Vibrionaceae.
CGUGAAAUCGAGUAGGGCGGGACACGUGAUAUCCUGUCUGAAUAUGGGGGGACCAUCCUCCAAGGCUAAAUACUCCUGACUGACCGAUAGUGAACCAGUACCGUGAGGGAAAGGCGAAAAGAACCCCUGUGAGGGGAGUGAAAUAGAACCUGAAACCGUGUACGUACAAGCAGUAGGAGCACCUUCGUGGUGUGACUGCGUACCUUUUGUAUAAUGGGUCAGCGACUUAUAUUCAGUGGCAAGGUUAACCGUAUAGGGGAGCCGUAGCGAAAGCGAGUCUUAACUGGGCGCUCAGUCUCUGGAUAUAGACCCGAAACCGGGUGAUCUAGCCAUGGGCAGGUUGAAGGUUGAGUAACAUCAACUGGAGGACCGAACCGACUAAUGUUGAAAAAUUAGCGGAUGACUUGUGGCUAGGGGUGAAAGGCCAAUCAAACUCGGAGAUAGCUGGUUCUCCCCGAAAGCUAUUUAGGUAGCGCCUCGGACGAAUACUACUGGGGGUAGAGCACUGUUAAGGCUAGGGGGUCAUCCCGACUUACCAACCCUUUGCAAACUCCGAAUACCAGUAAGUACUAUCCGGGAGACACACGGCGGGUGCUAACGUCCGUCGUGGAGAGGGAAACAACCCAGACCGCCAGCUAAGGUCCCAAAGUAUUGCUAAGUGGGAAACGAUGUGGGAAGGCUCAGACAGCUAGGAUGUUGGCUUAGAAGCAGCCAUCAUUUAAAGAAAGCGUAAUAGCUCACUAGUCGAGUCGGCCUGCGCGGAAGAUGUAACGGGGCUAAGCAAUACACCGAAGCUGCGGCAAUGUCUUUUAGACAUUGGGUAGGGGAGCGUUCUGUAAGCCGUUGAAGGUGAAUCGUAAGGUUUGCUGGAGGUAUCAGAAGUGCGAAUGCUGACAUGAGUAACGACAAAGGGGGUGAAAAACCUCCUCGCCGGAAGACCAAGGGUUCCUGUCCAACGUUAAUCGGGGCAGGGUGAGUCGACCCCUAAGGUGAGGCCGAAAGGCGUAAUCGAUGGGAAACGGGUUAAUAUUCCCGUACUUCUGACUAUUGCGAUGGGGGGACGGAGAAGGCUAGGUGGGCCAGGCGACGGUUGUCCUGGUUCAAGUGCGUAGGCUUGAGAGUUAGGUAAAUCCGGCUCUCUCUAAGGCUGAGACACGACGUCGAGCUACUACGGUAGUGAAGUCAUUGAUGCCAUGCUUCCAGGAAAAGCCUCUAAGCUUCAGAUAGUCAGGAAUCGUACCCCAAACCGACACAGGUGGUCGGGUAGAGAAUACCAAGGCGCUUGAGAGAACUCGGGUGAAGGAACUAGGCAAAAUGGUACCGUAACUUCGGGAGAAGGUACGCUCUUGAUGGUGAAGUCCCUCGCGGAUGGAGCUGACGAGAGUCGCAGAUACCAGGUGGCUGCAACUGUUUAUUAAAAACACAGCACUGUGCAAAAUCGCAAGAUGACGUAUACGGUGUGACGCCUGCCCGGUGCCGGAAGGUUAAUUGAUGGGGUUAGCGCAAGCGAAGCUCUUGAUCGAAGCCCCGGUAAACGGCGGCCGUAACUAUAACGGUCCUAAGGUAGCGAAAUUCCUUGUCGGGUAAGUUCCGACCUGCACGAAUGGCGUAAUGAUGGCCACGCUGUCUCCACCCGAGACUCAGUGAAAUUGAAAUCGCUGUGAAGAUGCAGUGUACCCGCGGCUAGACGGAAAGACCCCGUGAACCUUUACUACAGCUUGGCACUGAACAUUGAACCUACAUGUGUAGGAUAGGUGGGAGGCUAUGAAGACGUGACGCCAGUUGCGUUGGAGCCGUCCUUGAAAUACCACCCUUGUAUGU